UCCCAGUCCACUUUUACCUCAUGGUACCAGC
RNAcentral lists this non-coding RNA (31 nucleotides) under Rattus norvegicus (Norway rat). The record is from RNAcentral. Lineage: Eukaryota; Metazoa; Chordata; Mammalia; Rodentia; Muridae.